This is a non-coding RNA of Ascosphaera aggregata, 88 nucleotides long. NCBI's taxonomy places the organism in Eukaryota, Fungi, Ascomycota, Eurotiomycetes, Onygenales, Ascosphaeraceae. The record is from the annotation of a GenBank genome assembly.
GGUCUUGUGGUCUAGUGGUAUGAUUCUCGCUUAGGGUUAACCCUAAGUAGUUUGCGAGAGGCCCCGCGUUCGAGUCGCGGCAAGACCC